UACGUAGGGAGCAAGCGUUGUCCGGAAUCAUUGGGCGUAAGGCGCGCGUAGGUGGCCUCGUAAGUCCGCUGUGAAAGUCAAAGGCUCAACCUUUGAAAGCCGGUGGAUACUGUGAGGCUAGAGUACGGAAGAGGCGAGUGGAAUUCCUGGUGUAGCGGUGAAAUGCGCAGAUAUCAGGAAGAACACCAAUGGCGAAGGCAGCUCUCUGGGACGGUACUGACGCUGAGACGCGAAAGCGUGGGGAGCGAACAGG
RNAcentral lists this ribosomal RNA (253 nucleotides) under uncultured bacterium. RNAcentral describes it as "partial 16S ribosomal RNA". It matches the Rfam family "Bacterial small subunit ribosomal RNA", at positions 524 to 776 of the family's 1533-position model. The record is from RNAcentral.